This 406-nucleotide ribosomal RNA is filed under the name uncultured bacterium. RNAcentral describes it as "partial 16S ribosomal RNA". It matches the Rfam family "Bacterial small subunit ribosomal RNA", at positions 30 to 526 of the family's 1533-position model. The record is from RNAcentral.
AUUGAACGCUGGCGGCAGGCUUAACACAUGCAAGUCGAACGAGUGGCGGACGGGUGAGUAAUGCUUGGGAAUCUAGCUUAUGGAGGGGGCUAACUACGGGAACCUGUAGCUACUACCGCUUACCAUCGGAUGGACCCUUAUGGGAUUAGCUAGUGGGUGGGGUAAAGGCUCACCUUGGCGACGAUCUCUAGCUGGUCUGAGAGGAUGAUCAGCCACACUGGGACUGAGACACGGCCCAGACUCCUACGGGAGGCAGCAGUGGGGAAUAUUGCACAAUGGGCGAAAGCCUGAUGCAGCCAUGCCGCGUGUAUGAAGAAGGCCUUAGGGUUGUAAAGUACUGUCAGCGGGGAGGCGUUACCCGAAGAAGAAGCACCGGCUAACUCCGUGCCAGCCGCCGCGGUAAUUC